This 1358-nucleotide long non-coding RNA is filed under the name Phasianus colchicus (ring-necked pheasant). RNAcentral describes it as "lncRNA (ENSPCLG00000012385.1)". The record is from RNAcentral. Lineage: Eukaryota; Metazoa; Chordata; Aves; Galliformes; Phasianidae.
GCGCAUCCUGGUGGCCGUCUUGUCACCUGCAGGAGCCUGCCCGCACCUUCGCAUCUGGCCCGGCGCCGUGAGGCGGCUGCCGACCGGCCCGGCUGCAGCAGGGCAGCGCCGGCACACCCUAAGCUUCGCCCUGCUGAGUCAGACCUGAGUUCGGGUCAGGAGGCUGCGAGUUACCACAGAAUCACAGCAUUGGAGGGGUCGUAAGGAAGCUCUAGUGACCAUCCAGCUCCCUCCUAAAGCAGGUUCCCUGCAGCAGGUCACGCAGGACAGUGUCUCCGCACGCGUUCUGAACAUCUCCAAAGGAGACUUCAGAGCUUCUACAGACAGAACUCUGUCACUCUGUCAGUUCUUCCUUUGUACAGAACUUCUUGUGCUCUGGUUUCUGCCUUUUGCCCUUUGCUCUAUUGCUGCUUGCCACCAAAAAGAUUCCACCUCCAUAGACUUGACUCUCACAGCUUAGAGAUGUAUAAACAGUAACAGCUUCAGGACUCAGCCUUUUCUCAUACAAAUGUCUCCAAGCCCCACAUCACCUUUGUGGCCCUCUGCUGGACUCUUUAUAGUAGAUCCUUGUCUUUUCUGAACUGAGAAGCCCAAAUCUGGACACAGUAUUCCAGAUGUGCAGAGGGGAAGGACUACUUCCGUUGGCCUGCUGGCCACACUCCUUUUAGUGCACCCCAGAAUUGACUGCAAGGGCAAACUGAUAGCUCACAGUCAACCUAUUGCCCACCAGGACACCCAGGUCCUUCUCUGCAGAGCUCAUCUCCAGCAGAUCCAGCAGUGCCUAACCCAUAUGGUUGUAUGCAUUUGAGUAGCCUCAAUGCAGAACAUCAAGGGGUGGCUUUGUGGAUAACUCAGCAAACUAUCAAACACAAACAACAUAAAAAAAAAGCAGCACCAUGGGUUGUGUCUCUGGAGAAAGAAUGUAUGGACUGAAUCCUCAGGAAUGCAGGCAUGGCCACAUUCCUGGUCCAGGUGACUGACAAGGUGCUCAGGACUUUCUGGUGCUACCUGGGUCACUCUGGAGCUUGGUGGCAGAUAAGAGACAGUCUUGAAUGCUUCAUAUCUGGGACAUCCAUGGAAGCAAGAAGACAUUUACAACCCUUCAAGAAAAGGAGAGUAGUCAGCCCAAUACAUGGUGCAGGGAAGUGCUGUCCAUGCCAGCCAACCUGCUGGCAUUGUUCAAGAGCAGGAAGGAAAGCAAGUCAUACGGCAAAGCUGAGAAGAGAGACAAACCGGAGUCUUGGUGUGGCUUGGGAAACCAGGAAGUGGAAAAAGAACAAAGAGAAAAUAGAAAGGACUGCUGUUCCUUAACUGUCCAACCUAAAUACAAAGAAAUAAAUAGAAAUGAAAUCUAUACA